GGUUAAGUCCCGCAACGAGCGCAACCCUUGUCAUUAGUUGCUACAUUCAGUUGGGCACUCUAAUGAGACUGCCGGUGACAAGCCGGAGGAAGGUGGGGAUGACGUCAAGUCCUCAUGGCCCUUAUAGGUAGGGGCUACACACGUCAUACAAUGGCUGGUACAAAGGGUUGCCAACCCGCGAGGGGGAGCCAAUCCCAUAAAGCCAGUCGUAGUCCGGAUCGUAGUCUGCAACUCGACUACGUGAAGUCGGAAUCGCUAGUAAUCGUGGAUCAGAAUGUCACGGUGAAUACGUUACCGGGUCUU
RNAcentral lists this ribosomal RNA (303 nucleotides) under uncultured Rhodoferax sp. Its description in RNAcentral is "bacterial SSU rRNA". It matches the Rfam family "Bacterial small subunit ribosomal RNA", at positions 1078 to 1382 of the family's 1533-position model. The record is from RNAcentral. Lineage: Bacteria; Pseudomonadati; Pseudomonadota; Betaproteobacteria; Burkholderiales; Comamonadaceae.